Molecule: ribosomal RNA, 253 nt
Filed under: uncultured bacterium
Lineage: Bacteria
Description: partial 16S ribosomal RNA
Rfam family: Bacterial small subunit ribosomal RNA
Source: RNAcentral
UACGAAGGGGGCUAGCGUUGCUCGGAAUCACUGGGCGUAAAGGGUGCGUAGGCGGGUCUUUAAGUCAGGGGUGAAAUCCUGGAGCUCGACUCCAGAACUGCCUUUGAUACUGAAGAUCUUGAGUUCGGGAGAGGUGAGUGGAACUGCGAGUGUAGAGGUGAAAUUCGUAGAUAUUCGCAAGAACACCAGUGGCGAAGGCGGCUCACUGGCCCGAUACUGACGCUGAGACGCGAAAGCGUGGGGAGCGAACAGG